GGAGCUUUCUGUAUGGGUUGAAGUCGUACCGUAAGGAGCGGUGGACUGUACAGAAGUGAGAAUGCUGGCAUAAGUAGCGAGAAAUAAGUGAGAAUCUUAUUGGCCGAAAACCUAAGGUUUCCUGAGGAAGGUUCGUCCGCUCAGGGUUAGUCGGGACCUAAGCCGAGGCCGAAAGGCGUAGGUGAUGGACAAUCGGUUGAUAUUCCGAUACCACCUAUUUACGUUUGAGAAAUGGGGUGACGCAGUAGGAUAAGAUGUGCGCACUAUUGGAUGUGCGUCUAAGCACUUAGGCAUGCUUGAUAGGCAAAUCCGUCGAGCUAAGCUGAGGUGUGAUGGGGAGCCAUUUAUGGCGAAGUAUCUGAUUCCACACUGCCAAGAAAAGCCUCUAUCGAGUGAAUAGGUGCCCGUACCGCAAACCGACACAGGUAGGUGAGGAGAGAAUCCUAAGGCCAUCGGAAGAAUUGCUGUUAAGGAACUCGGCAAAUUGACCCCGUAACUUCGGGAGAAGGGGUGCCUACGAAAGUAGGCCGCAGAGAAUAGGCCCAAGCAACUGUUUAGCAAAAACACAGGUCUCUGCUAAAGCGAAAGCUGAUGUAUAGGGGCUGACGCCUGCCCGGUGCUGGAAGGUUAAGGGGAACACUUAGCGUAAGCGAAGGUGUGAACUUAAGCCCCAGUAAACGGCGGCCGUAACUAUAACGGUCCUAAGGUAGCGAAAUUCCUUGUCGGGUAAGUUCCGACCCGCACGAAUGGCGUAAUGAUUUGGGCACUGUCUCAACAGCAAAUCCGGCGAAAUUGUAGUGCAAGUGAAGAUGCUUGCUACCCGCGAUUGGACGGAAAGACCCCGUAGAGCUUUACUGUAGCUUAGCAUUGAAUCUCGGUAUUGUCUGUACAGGAUAGGUGGGAGACUUGGAA
Molecule: ribosomal RNA, 912 nt
Filed under: Clostridium botulinum
Lineage: Bacteria; Bacillati; Bacillota; Clostridia; Eubacteriales; Clostridiaceae
Description: partial 23S ribosomal RNA
Rfam family: Bacterial large subunit ribosomal RNA
Source: RNAcentral